This 500-nucleotide ribosomal RNA is filed under the name uncultured bacterium. Its description in RNAcentral is "partial 16S ribosomal RNA". It matches the Rfam family "Bacterial small subunit ribosomal RNA", at positions 30 to 523 of the family's 1533-position model. The record is from RNAcentral.
AUUGAACGCUGGCGGCAGGCCUAACACAUGCAAGUCGAGCGGAUGACGGGAGCUUGCUCCUCGAUUCAGCGGCGGACGGGUGAGUAAUGCCUAGGAAUCUGCCUGGUAGUGGGGGACAACGUUUCGAAAGGAACGCUAAUACCGCAUACGUCCUACGGGAGAAAGCAGGGGACCUUCGGGCCUUGCGCUAUCAGAUGAGCCUAGGUCGGAUUAGCUAGUUGGUGGGGUAAUGGCUCACCAAGGCGACGAUCCGUAACUGGUCUGAGAGGAUGAUCAGUCACACUGGAACUGAGACACGGUCCAGACUCCUACGGGAGGCAGCAGUGGGGAAUAUUGGACAAUGGGCGAAAGCCUGAUCCAGCCAUGCCGCGUGUGUGAAGAAGGUCUUCGGAUUGUAAAGCACUUUAAGUUGGGAGGAAGGGCAGUAAGCUAAUACCUUGCUGUUUUGACGUUACCGACGGAAUAAGCACCGGCUAACUCUGUGCCAGCCGCCGCCGUAA